Molecule: long non-coding RNA, 1834 nt
Filed under: Nicotiana benthamiana
Lineage: Eukaryota; Viridiplantae; Streptophyta; Magnoliopsida; Solanales; Solanaceae
Description: long non-coding RNA (NBEN_LNC037848)
Source: RNAcentral
AGAAGAAGCGUGAUUCUUGAGUUCGUGACUGUGUUAUGAGAUAAACCUACUCAAAGAUCAUUGAUCCAAAGCCUUUCUCAACUUGAGUGUAUCAGAGAUACCUAAGGGCCUCAAUGGAACCUCGGGCAGUGCUCACCCCCAUGUUUCAAAACCAGAAUAGGGACAAGUACAGUGUGGAAGUGCCAGCCCUCAAGUGUCCAAGUUCAGAGCGAGCUCAUAGGUCCCAAGUGAAGGCUCAUAAGAGGAGGGAAAAACUUAAGUCUAAGAAAUAUUGGAAGUGCAGAAACAUAAUUUUAAGAACUAAGAAAGUAAAGAAAGGGGAAAGGGGUGCUGAGAAACUGUUACAUAGUUGAUAACUUUACACAAUAAAAGGGUCAAGGGUUGGGAACUUAUUUCAGAGAGCCUAUGUUCUUAGGUAAAGGGGUCAGCCUUGGGCAUGCACAUCAAUUGAAGAUGUAGGCAUGCCUACAAGCCCACCAGAACACACAAUACUAGAGAAACAUAGAAAUUACAAUCCCAGGGAAUAAAGUUUGAAUCAUGGAAAACAAUGCUUAGUACUUUCAUACCUCAAACAAACCAUCAAUAUCAAAUACAUUGGGGUAGGGGUUUAGGAUACUUAAUACAGAGAUUCAGAAUAUGAGAAAAGAAAUUACAACAUGCUAGAAUAAAGUACCGUGUUAAAUACAAGUAGUAGGCAGACAAGAACGCAAACUUAUUAAGUAAAGAUAUUGUUGUGAUGCUGAAAUCUUAAUCAGAACAUACCAGUUCAAGAAGAAAAAUAAAGUAAAAGUAGGCUGCAGGAUUUUGAAGAUUGGCCGCAGUAUAUGUAGCAAGAGAGAAUGUUUCGAGUGUAUGUGAGUUUUAGAACUAAGAGUGUUCGUGUAUCCCCGUGUUAAUGAAAGAGUAAGGUAUUUAUAGUUUGAAAAUAGGUAGAAAAUUGAAUAAGGCAAGAAUCAUAGUUUAGCAAUAACUAUGGAACUAUGUACCAAUUAAAAUUAAAUUAGUGUAAGUACCUUCUUCAAUAAAGGAGUUAAAAUUAAAUGGUAACGUGCAAAUACUAAAUAAGGAAAGAAAUCACGUGACGCUAAAUAUGACAAAUAAGUAAGUAUCUUCAACGUAGUACAAGUACACCAUAGGUAUUAAAGACUAGGUUCAUAAGAUUCUAAUAAAGGAAAGGUCGGUAGGAAACAAAUACCAAUUUAACCAAGGUACGGGAAUUAAUCAAAUUGAGUAGAAAAGGUAGGGAUCGAAGGUUCAAAGGAAAGUGUUCAAAUUGGUCCAAUAAAUAGGGAGAUCACUAAAAUAAGGAAAGAAUCAAUUACUUAACACGCGAGUGCAAUCAAAAUAACACAAGGAGUGGCUUGAAAUCAGUUCACAAUUGAAGGUUGUUUUAGAGGAAAAUUUAGCAUAUACAAGAGUCCAUAAACAUUAGGCAUGCGAGGCUGAACUUAUGACAAAUAGAAGCAUCAUACAAUAACAAUCACAAAGUCAGUAGAUAGUGAACUAUCGAAACAUGGUAUUCACAUAGGUCACUUUCACCAACUUAAUAAUAGAGAAAAGAGAUAGUAUCAGAAGCAUGCAAAAGGUCAAUUAAAAAGACCUUUCUAAAAACAAAGUCGAGUUUCAAUAAUGGCAGGAAAUCAAAAUCACUUAAAGAAACAGCUGCUGAAUAAAAAAGGGUUUGAAAUCCAGUCGAGCAACUUCAAACAGGUGAAACAGCUUCAGAAGGUUGAAUAAGCCCCAAAUAAAUUUGGGUUUUGAAACCAAUAGAAUUCAGAGUUAAUGAACAAGUAAAUCACAUAGCAAAUAGUCUUAGAACUGGAAUGAACCUAAU